UUACCGGGUCCGGACACACUGAGGAUUGACAGGUAUUAUAUAGCACGCGCACUUCGGUGUGUGUGUCUAUUGUUAAAUAUGCUAGUCCUUUCAUGAUUAUGUGAUAGGUGGUGCAUGGCCGUUCUUAGUUCGUGGAGUGAUCUGUCUGCUUAAUUGCGUUUCAGAUAAGGAUCUAUAUUCUUUAUACGAGUGUUGCAGACCCCUUCCUCACGGGAGCGCGUGUCUCGCAUAAUCUCUAUACAUUAGGUCCUGAAAGCAACGAACGUGACCGCAACCUCUUGUUGCCUCAUCUCU
RNAcentral lists this ribosomal RNA (294 nucleotides) under Globigerinita glutinata. RNAcentral's name for it is "partial small subunit ribosomal RNA". It matches the Rfam family "Eukaryotic small subunit ribosomal RNA", at positions 1215 to 1367 of the family's 1831-position model. The record is from RNAcentral. Lineage: Eukaryota; Foraminifera; Rotaliida; Globigerinitidae.